GAACCAGCUUAGCCCAGAGGUUCCUUCAAAAUACAUUAGCCUUGCCAAUGUUAGCAGUUUGAGUCCCAUGGGCACACCUGGCCUUUUA
Molecule: vault RNA, 88 nt
Filed under: Varanus komodoensis (Komodo dragon)
Lineage: Eukaryota; Metazoa; Chordata; Lepidosauria; Squamata; Varanidae
Description: Vault RNA (ENSVKKG00000000324.1)
Rfam family: Vault RNA
About the family: This family of RNAs are found as part of the enigmatic vault ribonucleoprotein complex. The complex consists of a major vault protein (MVP), two minor vault proteins (VPARP and TEP1), and several small untranslated RNA molecules.
Source: Rfam by way of RNAcentral